UCUUCGUUAGUAUAGUGGUUAGUAUACAGGCUUGUCACGCCUGGGACCCGGGUUCAAUUCCCGGACGAAGAG
Molecule: transfer RNA, 72 nt
Rfam family: tRNA
About the family: Transfer RNA (tRNA) molecules are approximately 80 nucleotides in length.
Source: Rfam